This 3217-nucleotide ribosomal RNA is filed under the name Mallomonas lelymene. RNAcentral's name for it is "bacterial LSU rRNA". It matches the Rfam family "Bacterial large subunit ribosomal RNA". The record is from RNAcentral. Lineage: Eukaryota; Synurophyceae; Synurales; Mallomonadaceae.
GCGAAGAAGGACGUGGCUACCGGCGAAACGUUUCGGGGAGUUGGAAGUAAGCUUUGAUCCGAAAGUCUCCGAAUGAGGAAACUCAAUAACUUCUUACUGAAUCUAUAAGUAAAGAAAGAGCAAACCUAGGGAAUUGAAACAUCUUAGUACCUAGAGGAAAAGAAAGUAAAAACGAUUCCCUGAGUAGUGGCGAACGAAACGGGAACAGUCUAAACUUUUUCUCUCAUUAAAAAGAGUAGAAAAAGGGUUGUGGGAGAAAAAAAAGCUUCAUUAUUUUUUAUUAAAUAAUGACUGAAUAAGAAAGAAACUAAAGAGAAACCUUUACUAAUUUCAAUGAAAUUAGGUGAAAUAACUGGAAAGUUAUACCAAAGAAAGUGAAAGUCUUGUAACCGAAAAUUUCUACCCUAUUAUUUUUUCCCGAGUAGCAUGGGGCACGUGGAAUCCCGUGUGAAUCUGCGAGGACCACCUCGUAAGACUAAAUAUUCCUGAAUGUCCGAUAGCGUAUAGUACCGCGAGGGAAAGGUGAAAAGAACCCCGGGAGGGGAGUGAAAUAGAACGUGAAAUUGCAAGCCCACAAACAGAAAGAGAACGACUUAGCGUUUAAUUUCGUGCCUGUUGAAGAAUGUUCCGGCGACUUAUAGUUAGUGGCAGGUUAAGAGAGAGAUCUCGGAGCCAGAGUGAAAGCGAGCUUGAAUAGAGCGUUAGUCACUAGUUAUAGACCCGAACCCGGUUGAUCUAACCAUGGCCAGGAUGAAACUUAGGUAAUACUAAGUGGAGGUCCGAACCGACUGAUGUUGAAAAAUCAGCGGAUGAGUUGUGGUUAGGGGUGAAAUGCCAAUCGAAACCGGAGCUAGCUGGUUCUCCCCGAAAUGUAUUUAGGUGCAGCGGUUAAUAUUAUAGCGUAGGGGUAAAGCACUGUUUCGGUGCGGGCUGGUAAUUCGGUACCAAAUCGAGGCAAACUCUGAAUACUACGUGUACAGUUAACCAGUAAGACUAUGGGGGAUAAGCUUCAUAGUCAAGAGGGAAACAGCCCAGAUCACCAGCUAAGGCCCCUAAAUAAUGACUAAGUGAUAAAGGAAGUGGAAAGGCUUAGACAACCAGGAGGUUUGCUUAGAAGCAGCAAUCCUUUAAAAAGUGCGUAAUAGCUUACUGGUCUAGCAAUUCUGCGCCGAAAACUUACGGGACUAAGUCAUUUGCCGAAGCUGUGAGAUAGAAAAACUUUGGAAACAAAAAAUUUUUAUCGGUAGGGGAGCGUUCUGUUGUAGAGUGAAGUAUUAGCGAAAGCGGGUAUGGACGAAACAGAAGUGAGAAUGUCGGAUUGAGUAGCGAAAACAUUGGUGAGAAUCCAAUGCUCCGAAAACCUAAGGUUUCCUCCGCAAGGCUCGUCCACGGAGGGUUAGUCAGGUCCUAAGAUGAGGCUGAGAAGCGUAGUCGAUGGACAAUAGGUUCAUAUUCCUAUACUGAUUUUAGCAGGUAUCGAGGGACGAAGAAGGCUAAACUAGCCAGAGACUGGUUACUGGUUUAAGUAGUUAAGGUGUUGAGGAUUAGAGAAAAUAAUCUGAGCUGAAAUACGAAUACAAGAUUUUAAAAAUCAAAGUAGUUGAUGUCAUACUUCCAAGAAAAGCUCGCUAUGCCUUAUGUUAAAAUCACCUGUACCUUAAACCGACACAGGUAGGUAGGUAGAGAAUACCAAGGAGCGCGGGAGAACCCUCCUUAAGGAACUCGGCAAAAUAGCUCUGUAACUUCGGAAGAAAGAGUGCCUUUUAGGCUGCAAUAUCAAGUUCCAAGCAACUGUUUAGCAAAAACACAGGUCUCCGCAAAGUGGUAACACGACGUAUGGGGGCUGACGCCUGCCCAGUGCUGGAAGGUUAAAGAAGUCGGUUAGCGCAAGCAAAGCUGGUAACUGAAGCCCCAGUGAACGGCGGCCGUAACUAUAACGGUCCUAAGGUAGCGAAAUUCCUUGUCAGGUAAGUUCUGACCCGCACGAAUGGCGUAAUGAUUUGGAAGCUGUCUCGAGGAGGGACUCGGUGAAAUAGAACUAGCUGUGAAGAUGCGGCUUACCUGCGCCUGGACAGUAAGACCCUAUGAAGCUUUACUGUAUCCUGAAAUUGGAUUUCGAUUUUAUUUGCGCAGAAUAGGUGGGAGACGGAGAGAUUCUUCUUUCGGGAAGAAAGGAGUCAUUAGUGAGAUACCACUCUGAUAAAAUUAAAAUUCUAACUUCAUACCGUAAGCCGGUUGAAAAACAGUUUCAGGUGGGCAGUUUGACUGGGGCGGUCGCCUCCCAAAAGGUAACGGAGGCGUACAAAGGUUUCCUCAGAUCGGUCAGAAAUCGAUCUUUGAGUGCAAAGGCAAAAGGAAGCUUAACUGUGAGACAAACAAGUCGAGCAGAGACGAAAGUCGGUCUUAGUGAUCUGACGAUGCUGUGUGGAAAGGUCGUCACUCAACGGAUAAAAGUUACUCUAGGGAUAACAGGCUGAUCUCCCCCAAGAGUUCCUAUCGACGGGGAGGUUUGGCACCUCAAUUGGGGGCACAUAAUUAGAAAUACUAUGUGACAAUUUGGCUAUAUGCUGGAAACUCCGUUCAUUAAAAGUGAUAUAGUAUCCUAAAGUACUCUUGAAUCUUUCAAAGUAAAAAUCUUUAGGUGCGGACAAUCAGCAGGGAAGUUUAUAAGAAAGUUUAGACUCUCAUUAUAUAACCCCUCAACGACUACACGCCGAACAACCAAAACGGUUGAUGAUAUAGUCUGAUCUUUUAGGCGACUAAAAGGAUUUGAAUAAGAGGGAUGAAAAACUUUUUCAAAUCGUAAAAUUCUAUUCUUCAUAUCCUUUAUUUAACGCUACGAGCUAUUGGUAUAUGGAUGAUGGUACAUUAAAAUGGAAAGAGAGAUCAAACGCAGUUCGAUUUUGUAAGAUCCAUAUUUAUUGCAAAAUCUAGUUGAUUAAUUUUAUUAACAUAAUUGCGAUGUCGGCUCAUCGCAUCCUGGGGCGGAAGUACGUCCCAAGGGUUGGGCUGUUCGCCCAUUAAAGCGGUACGUGAGCUGGGUUCAGAACGUCGCGAGACAGUUCGGUCCAUAUCCGGCGUGGGCGUUAGAGUAUUGAGAGUGACCUUUCUCUAGUACGAGAGGACCGAGAAAGAUGUACCUUUGGUGUACCAGUUCUUGUGCCAACAGGAAAUGCGGGGUAGCUAAGUACAGUUAGGAUAACCGCUGAAAGCAUCU